This is a long non-coding RNA of Cyanistes caeruleus (blue tit), 893 nucleotides long. RefSeq lists it as uncharacterized. The record is from RefSeq and is a predicted model, not a curated record. Lineage: Eukaryota; Metazoa; Chordata; Aves; Passeriformes; Paridae.
GGGACUUUGGACCUUUCUGACUAUCAUCUAGCAAAAAAAUGGGGAGUAAAACAAACAGCCAUUGGAAGGACAUUUCCACCUGCAGCAAAUAACUGUUCCAAGCUGCACAGCACAUUGGCAACAUUAGGAAACCUGGAAUCAGCUGUAGCAAAGACAGAAGAUCCAUCCACUGAGAUACACACAAUAUGUGUGAGCAGAGCACUGAAGCUUUCCCAGAAGAAAAACAUCAUAAAAGGACAUCAAACUAGCAUUUUGUGAUGCCAGGCCUUUGCUGCAGCUUUUAAGAACAGUAUGCUCUCCACUAAAAACGAAAAACAAAAAAAAAAGGGUAGCAAUGUAUCUGAACAACUUGGGGCAUAAUGUGCUCCAGCCAAACCGUCUGUAGAAUUUCUUAUCAGACCCUCUUGUCGAGAUUGCUGAAACAUAAAUUGCUCUAAAAUAAGAAUGAAAAAGCUGAAAAACAGCAAAACAGAAAAACAAGAACCAGGUAACAGGAAGCCAUCAAACACCUAGACUGUGACCAAUCACAUAUCUUGAGAAGUGCGUGCUGAACACAUGGACAAAAUAAAGGCACCAAUCAAGAAAUGUGUGAUCAGCAUGUGCAGUAGUUUUAGAAUCUAUAAAUAAGUGCAUAAUGUAAAUAAUAAACAGCUUCUGUGUAAUCAUAUUAGUUUGUUGUUCAGAGGUCCUGAGCUCCUGCAAAUAGCAUAACCAAUUCUGUUCGGCUUUCAACGAAACUCAUGUAACUGGACAAACUGAAAGUUCUGAGACAUAAAUUCAACAACAGAUCGAUCAUUCUUCAAACCUUGGGUGAUUUUUGCUGCUAAAUCCACGAAGAGAUCACUGUCAUUUUCCGUUAUCUGGGAUCUAGACCUCUGUUUCUUUGUUUCCUC